CGUAGGGUGCAAGCGUUAAUCGGAAUUACUGGGCGUAAAGCGUGCGCAGGCGGUUCGGAAAGAAGAUGUGAAAUCCCAGAGCUUAACUUUGGAACUGCAUUUUAACUACCGAGCUAGAGUGUGUCAGAGGGAGGUGGAAUUCCGCGUGUAGCAGUGAAAUGCGUAGAUAUGCGGAGGAACACCGAUGGCGAAGGCAGCCUCCUGGGAUAACACUGACGCUCAUGCACGAAAGCGUGGGAGCAAACAGGAUU
Molecule: ribosomal RNA, 251 nt
Filed under: uncultured bacterium
Lineage: Bacteria
Description: partial 16S ribosomal RNA
Rfam family: Bacterial small subunit ribosomal RNA
Source: RNAcentral